GCCUUGUGGUAUUAAGGAUUAAGCCUGUAAGAAUUUUGAUUUGUAGGGCAGACUUCCCCCCCUGCUGAGGGUGGGAGAAACAACACAUUGUGACUUAAUGCUGCAAAGAUUAGAAUUUAUCUACUCAGAGCUUUCCAGAUGUCAUCUGCUUUGUGGGACUGAUUGUGUUUUUACAGUUUGAGUGAAGAUAUUAGAGUGACUUUUUGUAUCCACAGGAGUGAAUGACGUUUACCCAAUACUACUCUGGGCAAGGAAGAGUCAAUGUACUCCUCUCUGCCCAACCUGAAUCAACAAAUAAAUGAGUUUACCUCCUCUUUAAUUACAGAAUCCGAACUGCAAAUGUCAAUCAGCUCAGAUAACCAGUGUCUCCUCAGGAAGAAAGUCAGGAGCUCCUCAAUGGGAUCUAGAAAAGGAAACACCUGCUGGCACUCAAGCAACCUUAAUAAAUUCCAGCCAGAU
Taeniopygia guttata (zebra finch) is the source of this 459-nucleotide non-coding RNA. The record is from RefSeq and is a predicted model, not a curated record. NCBI's taxonomy places the organism in Eukaryota, Metazoa, Chordata, Aves, Passeriformes, Estrildidae.